This 500-nucleotide ribosomal RNA is filed under the name uncultured bacterium. RNAcentral describes it as "partial 16S ribosomal RNA". It matches the Rfam family "Bacterial small subunit ribosomal RNA", at positions 30 to 523 of the family's 1533-position model. The record is from RNAcentral.
AUUGAACGCUGGCGGCAGGCCUAACACAUGCAAGUCGAGCGGUAGAGAGAAGCUUGCUUCUCUUGAGAGCGGCGGACGGGUGAGUAAUGCCUAGGAAUCUGCCUGGUAGUGGGGGAUAACGUUCGGAAACGGACGCUAAUACCGCAUACGUCCUACGGGAGAAAGCAGGGGACCUUCGGGCCUUGCGCUAUCAGAUGAGCCUAGGUCGGAUUAGCUAGUUGGUGAGGUAAUGGCUCACCAAGGCGACGAUCCGUAACUGGUCUAAGAGGAUGAUCAGUCACACUGGAACUGAGACACGGUCCAGACUCCUACGGGGGGCAGCAGUGGGGAAUAUUGGACAAUGGGCGAAAGCCUGAUCCAGCCAUGCCGCGUGUGUGAAGAAGGUCUUCGGAUUGUAAAGCACUUUAAGUUGGGAGGAAGGGUUGUAGAUUAAUACUCUGCAAUUUUGACGUUACCGACAGAAUAAGCACCGGCUAACUCUGUGCCAGCCGCCGCGGUAA